RNAcentral lists this ribosomal RNA (465 nucleotides) under Vreelandella stevensii. RNAcentral's name for it is "partial 16S ribosomal RNA". It matches the Rfam family "Bacterial small subunit ribosomal RNA", at positions 338 to 795 of the family's 1533-position model. The record is from RNAcentral. Lineage: Bacteria; Pseudomonadati; Pseudomonadota; Gammaproteobacteria; Oceanospirillales; Halomonadaceae.
CCUACGGGAGGCAGCAGUGGGGAAUAUUGGACAAUGGGCGAAAGCCUGAUCCAGCCAUGCCGCGUGUGUGAAGAAGGCCUUCGGGUUGUAAAGCACUUUCAGUGGGGAAGAAAGCCUUGGGGCUAAUACCCUCGAGGAAGGACAUCACCCACAGAAGAAGCACCGGCUAACUCCGUGCCAGCAGCCGCGGUAAUACGGAGGGUGCGAGCGUUAAUCGGAAUUACUGGGCGUAAAGCGCGCGUAGGCGGUCUGAUAAGCCGGUUGUGAAAGCCCCGGGCUCAACCUGGGAACGGCAUCCGGAACUGUCAGGCUAGAGUGCAGGAGAGGAAGGUAGAAUUCCCGGUGUAGCGGUGAAAUGCGUAGAGAGCGGGAGGAAUACCAGUGGCGAAGGCGGCCUUCUGGACUGACACUGACGCUGAGGUGCGAAAGCGUGGGUAGCAAACAGGAUUAGAUACCCCGGUAGUC